Nannospalax galili (Upper Galilee mountains blind mole rat) is the source of this 782-nucleotide long non-coding RNA. RefSeq lists it as uncharacterized. Lineage: Eukaryota; Metazoa; Chordata; Mammalia; Rodentia; Spalacidae. The record is from RefSeq and is a predicted model, not a curated record. The transcript is spliced from 2 exons.
CAACUGGGCAGUGUGGACUAGCUCUACCCGAGGCCACACCCAGCCAUUAAAGCUGCAGGACUGACUGGCAGAGCCCACCUCAGCCACAGCCGCCAGCCCCAGAUGCCUCAGCCCUCAGGCUGUUCAGACCUAACCGAGCUUGCUCUUCAGCACGCAAAUCCUUCCUCCGCCUUUCCGAAGGCGGGAUGCUUGCUAAGUGCAGACGGGUCCAGGCUGUGCCAGCAUCUCCAUGGAAACUAGGGCCACAGCUCCCCGCCUGGAUCCACAGCUUGCAUACUGGAAGGGCUCCCUUGCCGACCCCAAGAAAGUUGGUUGUGGCAGCGGCCCCACACACCCACCACCAGCGGUGGCAGCACUUAUGGAGGCUGCUCAGCCCUGAGACUUCAGACCCUGUUGGGAGUUGUUUGGGGAAGGCUAGGAACUGCCUUCUUUGGAGCUGGCGGGGAUGAUUUCUCUUGUGUUUAAACCUUUUCAGGAGUGAGCUACAUCUAUCACAACACAUGGCCCCUAGCAAAAGACAUCUGGUUCCUUACGACCUUGCAGAAGAUCCCUGGUUCCCCUAUUAGAACUUCUCGUCUCUCCUUCCCAGAUCCCAGGAAGGACUUUAACACCAAGAAGACACUACCCACCUUCUGGGAUUCUGGGGAGGCAUGAUCCCCUUUCUGGGAUUUUCUGGGCCCAUGUAUAAAUCCAGACCUCCCUCGACCCCAGCACGCAACCGCCAUUCCCGUGGGAAGGUUGUAUGUCCCUCAGAGCUAAUAAAGGUAUCUGCAUCUGUUAAA